Molecule: long non-coding RNA, 397 nt
Organism: Labrus mixtus (cuckoo wrasse)
Lineage: Eukaryota; Metazoa; Chordata; Actinopteri; Labriformes; Labridae
Exons: 2
Source: RefSeq, a predicted model, not a curated record
GUGUUGAUUUCAGCUUAUUUUUCUCGAGCUAACAAAGCUCAUUCUCUGGUGAGAAAACAGAACCAAAGUAUGAAAUAAAAUUUUUUUAAAAAGCAAAAAAACAACGAGGAGAUUCUCACUAUUUAAGGAAAACUGAAGAUGACAAAAAGCAGCCGAGUUCGAGCAAGACUAAAAAGUAGCUGAAGCAUCAGGGAGGGGAUUCUGUCGUCUGAUAGUUUCCCAUCAGGGGGAAACACAGAGGAGAGAUUUACACCUUGUGGUGAUGUUUAAACAACACAGGCACAUGUAUAAGUUUUAUUUUGAUCAUUGAAGCGCAGCCUCUCGUUCUCCACACCGGGAGAAAACAUUUGAUUUAAAAAAAACGUUCAUGAGAGCAACAGAGGCUGAACUAUCAGAC